RNAcentral lists this small RNA (442 nucleotides) under Pan troglodytes (chimpanzee). RNAcentral's name for it is "processed transcript". Lineage: Eukaryota; Metazoa; Chordata; Mammalia; Primates; Hominidae. The record is from RNAcentral.
CUUUUGGCUUGGAGGGCUUCGGCCUUCACGGCUGGCGCAGCCUGGAUUCCCGUCCGGAGGACCUGGCGGCACCCGGUGUUUGCGUGCCUGCGAGCAAGGGUUUUCAGUGACUCCAUUGAUGAUGCAUGCGGUUUGGCCGUAUCAUAUUGAGCUUUCAACACAAGAUUUAUAAACAUGUUUGCUGGCCUAGACCUGAACUCUUCAGAUAAUCAGAGUGGAGGAAGUACAGCCAGCAAAGGGCGCUAUAUUCCUCCUCAUUUAAGGAACCGAGAAGCUACUAAAGGUUUCUACGAUAAAGACAGUUCAGGGUGGAGUUCUAGCAAAGAUAAGGAUGCGUAUAGCAGUUUUGGAUCUCGUAGUGAUUCAAGAGGGAAGUCUAGCUUCUUCAGUGAUCGUGGAAGUGGAUCAAGGGGAAGAUUUGAUGAUCGUGGACGGAGUGAUU